Molecule: ribosomal RNA, 1578 nt
Filed under: Myxobolus pavlovskii
Lineage: Eukaryota; Metazoa; Cnidaria; Myxozoa; Bivalvulida; Myxobolidae
Description: SSU rRNA
Rfam family: Eukaryotic small subunit ribosomal RNA
Source: RNAcentral
GAUAUCUGUUUGAUUUUCUCUCCCAUUGGAUAACCGUGGGAAAUCUAGAGCUAAUACGUGCGGUACAUUGGCGUGCUCUUGGGUACGUCAAAGCAUUUAUUAGACUAAACCAUCUACUAUACUUCGGUGUAGUAAGGGGAAUCUGGAUAACUUUGCUGAUCGUAUGGCCUUGUGCCGGCGACGUUUCAAUUGAGUUUCUGCCCUAUCAACUUGUUGGUAAGGUAUUGGCUUACCAAGGUUGCAACGGGUAACGGGGAAUCAGGGUUCGAUUCCGGAGAGGGAGCCUGAGAAACGGCUACCACAUCCAAGGAAGGCAACAGGCGCGCAAAUUACCCAAUCUAGACAGUAGGAGGUGGUGAAGAGAAUUACUAAGUGGUGGUCUAAUAGAUCACUUGUUUGGAAUGAACGUAACUUAAGAAAUUCGAUGAGAAACAACUGGAGGGCAAGUCCUGGUGCCAGCAGCCGCGGUAAUUCCAGCUCCAGUAGUUUGCUUUAAAGUUGUUGCGUUUAAAACGCUCGUAGUUGGAUCACGCAGCAGUGCUCAGUAAUCUAGAGCAUGGAGACGCUAAUGGUUCGUCUCUGACGGCCAUUGAGUGAAUUCGGCAAUAGAUAUUACGCUGGACAUUGCUAGUUGCACGUGAGAUAGAUUGUUGGCCUUGAAUGAGCCGAUAUUCUCGUCUUGCGGGGUGUGCCUUGAAUAAAACAGAGUGCUCAAAGCAGGUUAUUGCCUGAAUGUUAUAGCAUGGAACGAACAAUCGUGUAUAUGUGUACGUUUUUAAACGGCAAUGAGCUUUUGGUUUGUCGCUGUUUAGAAUGUGCACGGCACCCACCAAAAUAUGGCUGUUGGUUCCAUAUACGGUGAUGAUUAAAAGGAGCGGUUGGGGGCAUCGGUAUUUGGCCGCGAGAGGUGAAAUUCUUAGACCGGCCAAGGACUAACAAAUGCAAAGGCACUUGUCUAGACCGUUUCCAUUAAUCAAGAACGAAAGUGGGAGGUUCGAAGACGAUCAGAUACCGUCAUAGUUCCCACCGUAAACUAUGCCGACCUGGGAUCAGUUUGGAGAUGUUACAAGCUCUAGAUUGGUCCCCCUGGGAAACCUGAAGUUUUUCGGUUACGGGGAGAGUAUGGUCGCAAGGCUGAAACUUAAAGGAAUUGACGGAAGGGCACCACCAGGGGUGGAGCCUGCGGCUUAAUUUGACUCAACACGGGGAAACUUACCUGGUCCAGACAUCGAUAGGAUUAACAGAUCAAUAGCUCUUUUAUGAUCCGAUGAGUGGUGGUGCAUGGCCGUUCUUAGUUCGUGGAGUGAUCUGUCAGCUUAAUUGCGGUAACGAACGAGACCACAGUCUCCAUUUAAGAGAUAAGAGAAGACGUAUAGUUUAUUGACCUCACGGUUUAAUGGGCUAGGCGUUGCAGGAAGAGUAGUGUGCUCUAUUAAUAGGUAUGCAAUGGAAACUGCGUGUGCUUGUUGGCAGAGUGUGUUAUUUCUCCCUCUUAUCACGCAGCAGUUGGUUUCACUGGCUGUUGCCUUAUGGAGAGACAACGAGGUAUAAACAAGCUCGAGGAAGAGUGGCUAUAAC